This 468-nucleotide ribosomal RNA is filed under the name uncultured bacterium. Its description in RNAcentral is "partial 16S ribosomal RNA". It matches the Rfam family "Bacterial small subunit ribosomal RNA", at positions 28 to 507 of the family's 1533-position model. The record is from RNAcentral.
GACGAACGCUGGCGGCGUGCUUAACACAUGCAAGUCGAACGGAGAGGCCCUGCUUUUGUGGGGUGCUCGAGUGGCGAACGGGUGUGUAACACGUGAGUAACCUGCCCUUUACUUUUGGAUAACUUCAGGGAACUGGGGCUAAUACCGGAUAUGAUCUCCUGCUUCAUGGUGGGGGUUGGAAAGUUUCGGCGGUUGGGGAUGGACUCGCGGCUUAUCAGCUUGUUGGUGGGGUAGUGGCUUACCAAGGCUUUGACGGGUAGCCGGCCGGAGAGGGUGACCGGCCACAUUGGGACUGAGAUCCGGCCCAGACUGCUACGGGAGGCAGAAGUGGGGAAUAUUGCACAAGGGGCGGAAGCCUGAUGCAGCAACGCCGCGUGCGGGAUGACGGACUUCGGGUUGUAAACCGCUUACGCCUGUGACGAAGCGUGAGUGACGGUAAUGGGUAAAGAAGCACCGGCUAACUACGUG